AAGACCUUGCGCUUUUGGAGCGGCCGAUGUCUGAUUAGCUAGUUGGUGGGGUAAAGGCCUACCAAGGCGACGAUCAGUAGUUGGUCUGAGAGGACGACCAGCCACACUGGGACUGAGACACGGCCCAGACUCCUACGGGAGGCAGCAGUGGGGAAUUUUGGACAAUGGGCGCAAGCCUGAUCCAGCAAUGCCGCGUGAGUGAAGAAGGCCUUCGGGUUGUAAAGCUCUUUCAGUCGAGAAGAAAAGGCUGUGGUAAAUAAUCACGGCUCAUGACGGUAUCGACAGAAGAAGCACCGGCUAACUACGUGCCAGCAGCCGCGGUAAUACGUAGGGUGCAAGCGUUAAUCGGAAUUACUGGGCGUAAAGGGUGCGCAGGCGGUUUUGUAAGUCAGAUGUGAAAUCCCCGGGCUUAACCUGGGAAUU
Molecule: ribosomal RNA, 423 nt
Filed under: uncultured bacterium
Lineage: Bacteria
Description: bacterial SSU rRNA
Rfam family: Bacterial small subunit ribosomal RNA
Source: RNAcentral